RNAcentral lists this ribosomal RNA (693 nucleotides) under Rahnella sp. CB44(2010). Its description in RNAcentral is "bacterial SSU rRNA". It matches the Rfam family "Bacterial small subunit ribosomal RNA", at positions 20 to 711 of the family's 1533-position model. Lineage: Bacteria; Pseudomonadati; Pseudomonadota; Gammaproteobacteria; Enterobacterales; Yersiniaceae. The record is from RNAcentral.
AAGUCCGGGAGCGGCAGCGGGAAGUAGAUGCAGUCGAGCGGCANCGGGAAGUAGCUUGCUACUUUGCCGGCGAGCGGCGGACGGGUGAGUAAUGUCUGGGAAACUGCCUGAUGGAGGGGGAUAACUACUGGAAACGGUAGCUAAUACCGCAUGACCUCGAAAGAGCAAAGUGGGGGAUCUUCGGACCUCACGCCAUCGGAUGUGCCCAGAUGGGAUUAGCUAGUAGGUGAGGUAAUGGCUCACCUAGGCGACGAUCCCUAGCUGGUCUGAGAGGAUGACCAGCCACACUGGAACUGAGACACGGUCCAGACUCCUACGGGAGGCAGCAGUGGGGAAUAUUGCACAAUGGGCGCAAGCCUGAUGCAGCCAUGCCGCGUGUGUGAAGAAGGCCUUAGGGUUGUAAAGCACUUUCAGCGAGGAGGAAGGCAUCAYACUUAAUACGUGUGGUGAUUGACGUUACUCGCAGAAGAAGCACCGGCUAACUCCGUGCCAGCAGCCGCGGUAAUACGGAGGGUGCAAGCGUUAAUCGGAAUUACUGGGCGUAAAGCGCACGCAGGCGGUUUGUUAAGUCAGAUGUGAAAUCCCCGAGCUUAACUUGGGAACUGCAUUUGAAACUGGCAAGCUAGAGUCUUGUAGAGGGGGGUAGAAUUCCAGGUGUAGCGGUGAAAUGCGUAGAGAUCUGGAGGAAUACCG